RNAcentral lists this long non-coding RNA (1686 nucleotides) under Homo sapiens (human). RNAcentral describes it as "HSALNT0341622". The record is from RNAcentral. Lineage: Eukaryota; Metazoa; Chordata; Mammalia; Primates; Hominidae.
CAGGAAGCCCGAUAUGCUGACAUGUGUGAGAGGCAUCAUUCACCACAGAAGUAGAAACAGCAUGGAUGGGUGAAAGUUGCAAGAAGAUCUGUUGUUUCUUGGUUCCAACUUUGCUAUCAGCACUGGACCAAGAAUGGAAAACAACUAAUAAACCCUGAAUGUGCAACAAGGACCACAGGAACCAGCCACGGGAGAGUAGACAGUCACCAAGGUCAGGGUCACGUCAGGACAGCCCUGCACGUGUGCGGCCUGAGUGUUCCCACUCUCCGGGUUCACAGUGCAACAGACAGUGCCAGCUCACCACAGCCUUGUUUCCCCCAACUGACCAAGACUGGUCAGAAUGUGUCAGAUUUUGCAUGAAAGACGCAACGUAUUUGCUGUAAAAUUUUAGGAAUUACUAGAAAACAGGGAAGCCCCAAAAGGUAACACAAUCAAGGCAAGGCAAAGGUUGAAGAGAGUACUGAAAAAUCUUUUCAAACUGUUUAGAGAGGAUCCUGGGGGGAGAUGGUAGCAGGUUGGAGUGGCUGUGAGCCCGAGAGGCAGGAAAUAAGCCAGACUGAAACCCAUAUGCCUCUGUCAGAACUUCAAAGACUGAACCAAUGGUAAGAGCAAAGAACCUAACAGGGCCAAAGCUGUGAAGCGUAUUCACAUAAGGAUCAGAACACAGUCGGAGUCAGGAAACAGAGCCAGGAUAAAACCACUAGAAUAAAGUCACAAAACAUUAACCAGAAGAGGCAGGGAGUGGCCUGGGUACCAGAAGGAAUUCUGUUGCAGGAUGUGACGGACUAAUCAGUGUUUAAUCCUUCCUAGGCAGAGGCUCCACCACCGGUGCAUCUGUAAAGGCCUGGAGUGGGCUCAGGCAGUGAGAAACUGGAAAUGGAGCCUGGGCCCUUAGAGACCAGAGCAUCUCUCAUACAAGGGCUACACAUGUAUGAAGAAGAUGUACAUAGCUGGUCAUUUGUUACCUCACUUUGUUGAUCACAGACAAAAGCCACUUCCCUGACCUUGUCCUAAGGGAUUGUCAUUGUAAAUGUGGGUGAGCCCAGAGAACAGUGGGCUGGAUCCCUGGGUUUGGCUGCUUUCUAUGCUGCCAAGUAGUGGACACCCACCUUUCAGGCCCCCUUUUAUGUGCUGAGAUCACCUCCCUUCUUAGCUGUCUGUCAGUAUACCCCAGCUCUAGGCUGCAAGACUUCAGUGUGGGGACAGAGGUGCUCCCCACAACAAAGUCUGGGACCUCUGGUGCCCCACCUUCAUGUUUUGAAGAUGCUGUUUCACCCAGCGUUCUUUCCAGUAUUCAUCAGUAAUAGUGCAUUUAGCAUGGAGGCAUCCCCGAGUGCCCUUCACUUCCCCUUCUGCCAGGCAGAUUGUGAUGAACAGUGAAGCCUUUCACGGCUACUCACAGAAGUAGUCUUUAAAAAAGAACAAGAACUCAAAAUUGCAACUUGAACUUCCCCACUGAUACCAUAAAAUGGAACUUGGGAGCAGAAUAUAAGGAUGUUUGAGUUCCACUCUUGCUAAUUCACUGGUAAGGGGGCUUGAAAUCCUGGCCGCAUGUUUAGACAAGUCUACUCUGUUAAAUUAUUUCCCAAGUACUUUAUUCUUUUUGAUUCUGUUGCAAAUGAAAUCUUCCCCUCAAUUUCAUUUUUUGGCUCAUUUUAUUGCUAGUGUAUAGAAGCCAUUCAGUUU